This is a long non-coding RNA of Vicia villosa (hairy vetch), 688 nucleotides long. RefSeq lists it as uncharacterized. The transcript is spliced from 4 exons. Lineage: Eukaryota; Viridiplantae; Streptophyta; Magnoliopsida; Fabales; Fabaceae. The record is from RefSeq and is a predicted model, not a curated record.
UAUGAAGAUGAGCUGGUUAUGAAGAUGAGUUCGGAUCAGAAACACAAAAAUGGUGCGUGCCUCUGCAGAAUCUCAUUGAAGACGAUGAAGAUACGAAGGAUCUUGCAGGGAGAAUCGAUAGAUUCCAGAGGGAGAAUUCUCCUGAGUAUGUUGAUCGCGAUUGGUGGUAUAAAGACGAAGCUGAGCGAUAGAAUUGAAGUGUGAGUGUGGAGAUUGAAUGAAGAUGAAUGAAGUAGUGGAGGAGUGAUGAUGAUGAAGAUUUGCAGAGUGGGGAGUUGAAUUCGGUUAUGCUUUUCUAUGGUGAUGGAUCAAUGAAGGUGGAGGAAGAAGGUUAGAGCUGAGAGUGAUGAAGGUGUGAAUUUGUUGAGGAUGAAUGGAUGAAGUGAAGGAAGAGAAGAAGAGUAUGGUUCUGGUUUUAUAGAGUUCGCAGGGACUGUUUUCAAAUGGCUGGGACAUUGUUUGUGAUGUUUAUGUCAAAUGGAACUAUGAAGAAUGGUUCUAAAGAUGUGGAUUACUUGAUCAUAAAGCUAGUUAACAUUAUGGUGAAACUGAAGUGGAGUUAAUCAGGAAAAUUGGAGAAAAAGACAAAUGGGUUUUAUGGAGUCAGCUGUUGUUUUCUUUUUGUAGAGUUCUUUUUGUAUAGUUGAAUUUUGCAAUGGACUUGAAUUUUGUAAUGAAUUUGGAAUUU